Molecule: ribosomal RNA, 496 nt
Filed under: uncultured bacterium
Lineage: Bacteria
Description: partial 16S ribosomal RNA
Rfam family: Bacterial small subunit ribosomal RNA
Source: RNAcentral
AUGCACGCUGGCGGCGUGCCUAAUACAUGCAGGUCGAGCGAACGGACGAGAAGCUUGCUUCUCUGAUGUUAGCGGCGGACGGGUGAGUAACACGUGGAUAACCUACCUAUAAGACUGGGAUAACUUCGGGAAACCGGAGCUAAUACCGGAUAAUAUUUCGAACCGCAUGGUUCAAAAGUGAAAGACGGUCUUGCUGUCACUUAUAGAUGGAUCCGCGCUGCAUUAGCUAGUUGGUAAGGUAACGGCUUACCAAUGCAACGAUGCAUAGCCGACCUGAGAGGGUGAUCGGCCACACUGGAACUGAGACACGGUCCAGACUCCUACGGGAGGCAGCAGUAGGGAAUCUUCCGCAAUGGGCGAAAGCCUGACGGAGCAACGCCGCGUGAGUGAUGAAGGUCUUCGGAUCGUAAAACUCUGUUAUUAGGCAAGAACAUAUGUGUAAGUAACUGUGCACAUCUUGACGGUACCUAAUCAGAAAGCCACGGCUAACUACGUG